AGACUGGCUAAUGAUAACAAGGCAUCAUAAAAUCUUCAGAAGGAAAGACUGUUUUGCAGUCCAUUUGGUUUUUUUUGUGUGUGGCAGUUUUUAAGUUAUUGGUUUUUAAAAUUAGU
This 116-nucleotide microRNA precursor is filed under the name Mustela putorius furo (domestic ferret). RNAcentral describes it as "miRNA (ENSMPUG00000022206.1)". Lineage: Eukaryota; Metazoa; Chordata; Mammalia; Carnivora; Mustelidae. The record is from RNAcentral.